CCAAAAAGUGUCGGGAAACUAAAAGAGACAGUCUCUGGGGCUGCAGUUAACCAAAGUGAGGGGGCAUCUGAGAUUUAGUUGUUGUUGGAAGACAAUGGGAAUGAGAGCAAGAAGGAGCCUCUUAAACACAAACACGUCCUGUGUUCACCAGAAUUAGGACUCUCUCUUCCCUUUAGUGGAGGUGGCUGUAUGCACCAGACUGGAAUCUUCAACACUAAUUGCUGA
Molecule: long non-coding RNA, 225 nt
Filed under: Homo sapiens (human)
Lineage: Eukaryota; Metazoa; Chordata; Mammalia; Primates; Hominidae
Description: HSALNT0249857
Source: RNAcentral